RNAcentral lists this ribosomal RNA (503 nucleotides) under uncultured bacterium. RNAcentral's name for it is "partial 16S ribosomal RNA". It matches the Rfam family "Bacterial small subunit ribosomal RNA", at positions 30 to 523 of the family's 1533-position model. The record is from RNAcentral.
AUUGAACGCUGGCGGCAGGCUUAACACAUGCAAGUCGAGCGGGGUGAUGGUGCUUGCACUAUCACUUAGCGGCGGACGGGUGAGUAAUGCUUAGGAACCUGCCUAUUAGUGGGGGACAACAUCUCGAAAGGGAUGCUAAUACCGCAUACGUCCUACGGGAGAAAGCAGGGGAUCACUUGUGACCUUGCGCUAAUAGAUGAGCCUAAGUCGGAUUAGCUAGUUGGUGGGGUAAAGGCCUACCAAGGCGACGAUCUGUAGCGGGUCUGAGAGGAUGAUCCGCCACACUGGGACUGAGACACGGCCCAGACUCCUACGGGAGGUAGCAGUGGGGAAUAUUGGACAAUGGGGGGAACCCUGAUCCAGCCAUGCCGCGUGUGUGAAGAAGGCCUUAUGGUUGUAAAGCACUUUAAGCGAGGAGGAGGCUCUUUUGGUUAAUACCCAAGAUGAGUGGACGUUACUCGCAGAAUAAGCACCGGCUAACUCUGUGCCAGCAGCCGCCGUAA